UGUGCUCCAUUCCAUUGCUACGACUUGCAUCCCUUUUCUCAUGUCAAAUGAAUCAUCAUUCAAUUCUUAAAUGCCCUUCAGCUGCACAAUUUAACAGUGCAAGCCACAGCCUGUGCCCAAAAUUUGAGCCUUGCUUUAACAUCUUCCGGAUGGUCACCAGGAGUAGAGAUCUUCCAGUUAGCAAUAGGAUUAGAUGCACUCUCAGCAGUAGUAGGAGAGCUUCUCUCAGGAGACUUAUGGUGCUCAUCAAGCAACUUCUGACUCAUGGAAUAACA
RNAcentral lists this unclassified non-coding RNA (275 nucleotides) under Hevea brasiliensis (rubber tree). Lineage: Eukaryota; Viridiplantae; Streptophyta; Magnoliopsida; Malpighiales; Euphorbiaceae. The record is from RNAcentral.